Molecule: ribosomal RNA, 459 nt
Filed under: uncultured bacterium
Lineage: Bacteria
Description: partial 16S ribosomal RNA
Rfam family: Bacterial small subunit ribosomal RNA
Source: RNAcentral
CCUACGGGAGGCAGCAGUGAGGAAUAUUGGUCAAUGGCCGGAAGGCUGAACCAGCCAAGCCGCGUGAAGGACGAAGGUGCCAAGCAUUGUAAACUUCUUUUGUCAAGGGACAAAAUCAGGCUCGAGAGCCUGACCGAGGGUACUUGAAGAAAAAGCAUCGGCUAACUCCGUGCCAGCAGCCGCGGUAAUACGGAGGAUGCGAGCGUUAUCCGGAUUUAUUGGGUUUAAAGGGUGCGUAGGCGGGCUGUUAAGUCAGCGGGAAAAGCCCGGGGCUCAACCUCGGCGUGCCGUUGAAACUGGCUGUCUUGAGAUGUCGAGAGGUAUGCGGAAUGCGCAGUGUAGCGGUGAAAUGCUUAGAUAUUGCGCAGAACUCCGAUUGCGAAGGCAGCAUACCGGCGGCGAUCUGACGCUGAGGCACGAAAGCGUGGGUAUCGAACAGGAUUAGAUACCCUUGUAGUC